RNAcentral lists this ribosomal RNA (472 nucleotides) under uncultured bacterium. Its description in RNAcentral is "partial 16S ribosomal RNA". It matches the Rfam family "Bacterial small subunit ribosomal RNA", at positions 28 to 507 of the family's 1533-position model. The record is from RNAcentral.
GGUGAACGCUGGCGGUAGGCCUAACACAUGCAAGUCGAACGGCAGCACAGUAAGAGCUUGCUCUUACGGGUGGCGAGUGGCGGACAGGUGAGGAAUACAUCGGAAUCUACUUUUUCGUGGGGGAUAACGUAGGGAAACUUACGCUAAUACCGCAUACGACCUACGGGUGAAAGCAGGGGAUCUUCGGACCUUGCGCGAUUGAAUGAGCCGAUGUCGGAUUAGCUAGUUGGCGGGGUACAGGCCCACCAAGGCGACGAUCCGUAGCUGGUCUGAGAGGAUGACCGCGAGCAAGGGGACGGAGACACGGCCCAGAGUGCUGAGGGAGGCAGCGGUGGGGAAUAUGGAACAUUGGGCGAAGGCAUGAAGAAGCAGCACCGCGGGAGGGACGACGGCCUUCGGGUUGUAAACAACGUGGAGCGGGGAAGGAGCGAAAGUGACGGUACCUGAAGAAAAAGCGCCGGCUAACUACGUG